RNAcentral lists this ribosomal RNA (502 nucleotides) under uncultured bacterium. Its description in RNAcentral is "partial 16S ribosomal RNA". It matches the Rfam family "Bacterial small subunit ribosomal RNA", at positions 30 to 523 of the family's 1533-position model. The record is from RNAcentral.
AUUGAACGCUGGCGGAAUGCUUUACACAUGCAAGUCGAACGGCAGCACGGGUGCUUGCACCUGGUGGCGAGUGGCGAACGGGUGAGUAACAUAUCGGAACGUGCCCAGUAAUGGGGGAUAACUAACCGAAAGGUUAGCUAAUACCGCAUACGCCCUGAGGGGGAAAGCGGGGGAUCGUAAGACCUCGCGUUAUUGGAGCGGCCGAUAUCUGAUUAGCUUGUUGGUGGGGUAAAGGCCUACCAAGGCGACGAUCAGUAGCAGGUCUGAGAGGAUGAUCUGCCACACUGGAACUGAGACACGGUCCAGACUCCUACGGGAGGCAGCAGUGGGGAAUUUUGGACAAUGGGGGAAACCCUGAUCCAGCCAUUCCGCGUGAGUGAAGAAGGCCUUCGGGUUGUAAAGCUCUUUCGGCAGGGAAGAAACGGUUCUGGAUAAUACCCGGAGCUAAUGACGGUACCUGAAGAAGAAGCACCGGCUAACGACGUGCCAGCCGCCGCCGUAA